GACGAACGCUGGCGGCGUGCCUAAUACAUGCAAGUCGAGCGAGCGGAACUAACAGAUUUACUUCGGUAAUGACGUUAGGAAAGCGAGCGGCGGAUGGGUGAGUAACACGUGGGGAACCUGCCCCAUAGUCUGGGAUACCACUUGGAAACAGGUGCUAAUACCGGAUAAGAAAGCAGAUCGCAUGAUCAGCUUUUAAAAGGCGGCGUAAGCUGUCGCUAUGGGAUGGCCCCGCGGUGCAUUAGCUAGUUGGUAAGGUAAAGGCUUACCAAGGCGAUGAUGCAUAGCCGAGUUGAGAGACUGAUCGGCCACAUUGGGACUGAGACACGGCCCAAACUCCUACGGGAGGCAGCAGUAGGGAAUCUUCCACAAUGGACGCAAGUCUGAUGGAGCAACGCCGCGUGAGUGAAGAAGGUUUUCGAAUCGUAAAGCUCUGUUGUUGGUGAAGAAGGAUAGAGGUAGUAACUGGCCUUUAUUUGACGGUAAUCAACCAGAAAGUCACGGCUAACUACGUGCCAGCAGCCGCGGUAAUACGUAGGUGGCAAGCGUUGUCCGGAUUUAUUGGGCGUAAAGCGAGCGCAGGCGGAAGAAUAAGUCUGAUGUGAAAGCCCUCGGCUUAACCGAGGAACUGCAUCGGAAACUGUUUUUCUUGAGUGCAGAAGAGGAGAGUGGAACUCCAUGUGUAGCGGUGGAAUGCGUAGAUAUAUGGAAGAACACCAGUGGCGAAGGCGGCUCUCUGGUCUGCAACUGACGCUGAGGCUCGAAAGCAUGGGUAGCGAACAGG
RNAcentral lists this ribosomal RNA (781 nucleotides) under uncultured Lactobacillus sp. Its description in RNAcentral is "bacterial SSU rRNA". It matches the Rfam family "Bacterial small subunit ribosomal RNA", at positions 28 to 776 of the family's 1533-position model. Lineage: Bacteria; Bacillati; Bacillota; Bacilli; Lactobacillales; Lactobacillaceae. The record is from RNAcentral.